GAUAUGAAAAACACGGGUGAAUUAUUAACAAUCGUACCGGCGUGUUAGGGAAGUUCACACCAAUUCCUAAUAUUGAAGAUAAGCUCUUAGUUAGUUGGUUAUCUUCUUCACUCCAAGCUCCUUUCUUGAUACUGUUUUUGUCCACGCAAUGUGCUCUCACCAUUGUUGAUGAUCUUUAUAUCAACCUAUUUGCGUUGGUGUCGUAUUUACACAAUCUGCGUCUCUCUCACGGACUGAGACUGGCGCUCGAUUGUGGUGGUCCAGUGGGCUAAACCAGCGGCAAAGAUGGUGGUGGUUGAGGAGGUGGAGGGCGAAAGCCGGUGUAGAACGGAUCGGAGGUGGUGACAAGUUACGGUGUUUGAUACCUGCUAGUGGUAGGAACCCUAGAACCUCUUUGUCGCUAUCAUCUGUUCCAACCGUCUGUGUCACGAUUGUGUGCUUCUAUCACCGAGCACCACUGUCAUCCACCUCCGUUGUCAUAACACCGCAACCACUGUCAUCCACCUUGGUUGUCCACCAAAAGCUGUAAGUAGAAGAUCAAUUGGAUCGGCUUGAAUAGGGGGAAAACAAAACGCUUGGGUUUCUUGAGAUACGGUUU
Molecule: long non-coding RNA, 598 nt
Filed under: Helianthus annuus (common sunflower)
Lineage: Eukaryota; Viridiplantae; Streptophyta; Magnoliopsida; Asterales; Asteraceae
Description: hypothetical non coding rna
Source: RNAcentral